GGUUAUCCCGUUCCCUCUUCUCUAAGAACUCCUUUUUCUGAAACAAAUCAGUAGUCGUCGCACCAUUUUCGUCCUCAUUUGCAUGUAAGGUAGACAGAGCACUAAACCAGGAUCUCACCCCCUCCUUAGCCGGAUUAGUCAUAUUUUGGCUCCGGUUAGUUCCGAGUUACGUCGAGAUUUCAACUUGACGAGCAUCCACGGCCCAAAAGAUUCCGUUGACUCCAUCGAUUUCUCUUUCUCAGGUAUGGCCACCAAUGUUGCAUUUUUACCCAUAGUGCAACCCGUUAGUGUCCUGAAAAAAGGGCAUAAAUGUUUCACAGGACCAUAAAGGCCACAAGAAAAGCAUACUGUUGGCAACGCCUCAUAUUCAACCCUCUGCACCGUUCCAUUAAUCAAAAUCUGCGAGACUAGCAGUUUCUCCAAAUUGAUAUACACCGCCAUUCGGGAAAACCUUCCCCUCGACCCACUAUCCAUCUUGAAAUCGAGUUUUGCCUCCUUACCGACCAAACCAACAAUUUUCUCCAAAAUUCGACGCUUACAAAGAAACCCCAGCAAUCCAGGUAACCGUAUCCAAGCCAUGACAGUACUGCGAAGGGUUAAAGAGGAUAAAAGUCCAAAGUCCACGGGUGAACCGUGAGGUAUUAUCCAAAAACAAUCCACGACCUCUAGGUAAGCACCUUCUCGUAAUCUUCCCUACUUUGAAAAUUGACCAAAAAGUAUCCAUUCUCGACAUCCAUAACAUGAAACAGAUGGGAGGGUUUCCAAAGACUAUAGAUUCUGUUAUGCAGAGUGGUAUAUGCUAAAUUAUGUCCCAAUAAUUUCACCACCACCGCCAUCGCCAUAUCCCUUACCAGAAUAUGUUGUAUCCUCUCGGAGAAGUCUAUCGCAUGCAUACCAUUAACAGUGGACCUUGUGAUAUCUCCCUCCAUGAAAUCCAAUUCCUCUUCAUAGACAGAAUCGGAAUGACCCCUCCCCAACACUUUAUCCCUCCAGGACACUGCCAGCGCUGAAGGCAAAUCCAUGGCCAUGUCUUUGCCCGUAUUCGCUUCCAAACCCUUGAACCGAACUUUCUUGGCGUUGCAAUCCUCAUUCAAGGUAUUGCCACCGCCACUCUCCGCCAUUAUUGAAUAUUAAAUUUAAGAGUGGUUGAAUUAACCUUUCAUCUUUGAUUCUCUUUGGUAAUUAAGACAGGACUAUUAUUGAGUAUGACUGUAAAGAUAUUAUUGUUAGCUUGAGGAAUCAAUCUCGAUGUCUUUAAUCCAAGAACAUAUUUCACCUAUGCUUCA
This 1286-nucleotide long non-coding RNA is filed under the name Gossypium barbadense (sea-island cotton). RNAcentral describes it as "long non-coding RNA (GBAR_LNC021887)". Lineage: Eukaryota; Viridiplantae; Streptophyta; Magnoliopsida; Malvales; Malvaceae. The record is from RNAcentral.